This is a non-coding RNA of Pelobates cultripes (western spadefoot toad), 218 nucleotides long. The record is from the annotation of a GenBank genome assembly. Lineage: Eukaryota; Metazoa; Chordata; Amphibia; Anura; Pelobatidae.
AUUACAGAAAGCCUUUUACACUGUUCUGUACUGAACAAUCGGGUUAUGCUACAUCUGUCCUUACACAGGACCAUGGUGGUAAACAAACACCAAUAGCAUACUACUCCACCAGAUUGGUCCCUGUUGCCAGGGGUGCCCCCUCAUGUGGGCAGUGGUGGCUGUUACUGUCCUCCUGGACAAAGCCACUGAUAUUGUCUUAGAUAACCCAGUGACCAUAU